This is a long non-coding RNA of Triplophysa dalaica, 804 nucleotides long. RefSeq lists it as uncharacterized. NCBI's taxonomy places the organism in Eukaryota, Metazoa, Chordata, Actinopteri, Cypriniformes, Nemacheilidae. The transcript is spliced from 3 exons. The record is from RefSeq and is a predicted model, not a curated record.
CUAACUCCUAAGUAAAGAAGAAAUGUUUAUGUAGAUACUAAUAAAUGAAAUAGAAUUAAAAAUGCAUCGAAUGAAAGUGUUCAGUCGAGAUAAUAGAAAUGAACAAUGUUUAUUUGUGUGUGUGUUAUUAUUGCAGUUUUUUUCUGUGUUGACACAUCUGAUCUCUCAACAUGAGCUGCAACGAACAGCGUAUGUGAUGUUUUACUGUAAAGACAUUUUUAUUCAAUGUAUAUAUUAUAUUCAUUGUGUCUACCAUUUACAACCAAUUAAAAUUAUUUUCUUUUCAUUCCUUGAUAUCUUCUACAGAACAAAAAAAGGUGACAUUUUCUUUCCUUAUUUAUAUAUGCACCUCAUAAAAAGAUGAAUGAAUGUGUGCAUAUUAAAUAAAUUACAUUUACAUAUGUUCAAAAUUAAAACAAGCAUUGAAACAGGACAAUAACUCUUUUGAUUUUCUGAUUUGUAAACAGCCAUGCGACAAAGACGAUUCUGACUCUGGAUCAGGGAGCUCCGGAGAUGAAGGAGGAAAGGGGAAGAAGGGAAAGGGCAAGGGUCAAGGAAAAGGAAAGGGAAAGGGUCAAGAGCACGGACAUGGACACGGAGGUCAAGGUCAAACCGGCAAAAGUGACCAACAUAAAAAAAAAUGAGUUUGAGCUGACAGUGACGAAGGAGGAGAAGAUUCUGUCCAAUCCUGCACUGAGCGACGCUGGACUUCAGCUUCACACAACACUAAAAGAAUGAAACUGUGUCUGUGUUAAUGUGUUUAACUAAUAAUUGUUAUUAUUCAAUAAACUGACAUCAAACACA